CAUGAUUGUUGUGUAGAGAAGAACUUCCAGCGGCAUGUGCUACGACUGCUGAACACGCUUCGCUUCAUGCUGGAACAGCAAGCGGACACCCUGAACAAGUUGUGCGAUAUGCUUCCCACUUCUUCAGUCACCGAAUGCGCAGAGCUCUUAGGCCAUCCGCUAAGCAGUCUUGAAGAACUACAAGAGUUCGACGACAAGCUCGAUGCUGGAAAAUUUAAGAUCCUGGUUCAUGAGUUGGCACAGCUUGGUGGGAAAGAUGCCUACUGGGCAACAAAAAGAAUCUUGUCAUACUGCAUCACA
Molecule: long non-coding RNA, 300 nt
Organism: Rhipicephalus sanguineus (brown dog tick)
Lineage: Eukaryota; Metazoa; Arthropoda; Arachnida; Ixodida; Ixodidae
Exons: 3
Source: RefSeq, a predicted model, not a curated record